UUCUUCAGCCUUCAGUUACAUUUUAAAAGACUUUCUACACAAUGUCACACUUACAACGUGCCAUUAGGAUACUCAUAUUCGCAUAAAGUUGUGUCGUGGUUUUACAACUGUUUGUUGCUUUUGUACAUGUGUCAAUUCCUUCUGUGGUGGUCAUCACUCUUCUGGUGUUUUUUUCAUGAAGGCUUCUAUAGUCUUCCUCACCUUUGAACUCUUUUCCCCUGUCUUUAAUGCGUGCUCAGUGCUUCUUGUUUUUCAGUCUAACUUGUUUUUAGCUAAUUUCACAGUUUAUGAGUUCCCUUAAAAAUUGCUAUCUGCUUGCUUUUGCUUGUGCAUAUUAUCUCACUUUCUUUGUUAUCUUGCUUGUUUUACCUGCACAUCUUGAUAUAAUAUUACUUGUGGUUAACCUUUUGUUACAUACUACUUAGGUUUCACUUCUAGAGAUGGACUUGGGCAGGAGGAACCCCCAACCCAACAUGCUCACAACAUGUUUUCCCCCCAAAACAAGACUUGUUAUUCCUAAGCCUUGGCUGGAUGGAGAAGGAGGCUGUGAGGAAGAGGCUCUGGGACCCCCAUGCGGGCAACAAGAUGCAGUUGGAGACCAGAGAAGACAAAUCAGAACCUUGUUGAAGAGGCUUUUUCAAGUGGCUCCACCGUGCAGGAAUUUAACAGGGAGAAAAAAACGUGGAGAUAUCCCACAAGGAGGUGCUGCAAACCCAGCCCAUGAUGCUCCGAGGAGGAAAGACCAACCCUGUGACGAGAAGGCGGACGGAGAUCCUGCUGGAGCUCUUGCUUCUUGGUCCAGCAGCAGCUUCACGCCAAGGAGAAGCCCUGCAAGUGCUUGGAAUGUGGAAUGAGCUUCACCAUCAGCACGACCUUCAUCACCCACCAGCACCUGCACACGGAGGAACGGCUCUGCAGGUGACUUGACUGUGGAAAGGGCUUAAACCACAACUCAUUGUCCAGCGUCGUGUCCACACUGGGGAGAGGGCCCUAUAAGUGUCCUGAGUGUUAGAAAACAUUUUGGAGCUGCUUGCAUCUCAUAGAGUAUCAGUGGACAUACAAGUGGAGAGGCCCUAUGAGUGUCCCGAGUGUGGGAAGAGGUUCUGGACCUGCUUGGAUCUUAUCAAGCAUCAGCAGGUGCAAAGAGGAGAGGGCCUUCUGCUGCACAGACUGCGAGGAGAGCUUUAUCUGUAGCACUGACCUCAACAUCCACCACUGCAUCAUCCCCUCCUCACAUCCCUCAGAAAAUGAUACUGGGAAUGAUGCCAGCACAUCUCAACUGAAGAUUAAGUUUUCCAUGGAAGGAGUGCUUAUUCUUCUCCCAGAAGGAAUCAACACUAGAAUGAACCAGACUGGGCACACACAUCACGAAGCCCAACCCGGAGACGUUCACUUUUCCUAUUUGUAGUGGUCACUAUAGCCACACUCGAGCCUGAAUGCAUUUCAAUGACAAUUGCUGAAGAAACAACCUAUACUUGUGCAAAUCUUGGAGCUCCACCUAAUAACAUGAAUUUGGCAGAAGGAAAUAUAACCACAAGAUUUGAAACACAACCUCCAACCAACGAAGGGGAAGUUUACUUAGCCAGUUUCCAAUUGACGUCCUUUGUAAAACAGAAUAGCUGUUACAAAGCCAGUAGCUGCUCUGAGAGAAUUACAUGGAAACAAAAUAGGGAAAGGGAAGUAGUAGCAUGUGGAGGUAUAAUGUAUCCACAGCCCUAACUGGGCUGAUGCAUAUUGGCACAAUAAAAACUAACUUAGACCCUCCUGAUGCCCUCCAUCACCUCCCAAGCUCCUGAUAAGGCUGUUGAAACCUUAUCUCCAAAAAAUGUAUACAAUUGGAUCCUAUACCAUCAAAUAUACAGGCAGCAACCUGUAUCAGAUCAGAGAUCGUGAUCUGCACUGAGCUUUCCACUUGUUAGAGGAACCAGGGAGGAUUUAAUAGCUGCUGUACCAGUCAGCCUGGGUGUCUUGGUUUAAUUUGAAUUUCUCGGCCAAUGCAUUAAGUAAUG
Molecule: non-coding RNA, 2009 nt
Organism: Sturnus vulgaris (Common starling)
Lineage: Eukaryota; Metazoa; Chordata; Aves; Passeriformes; Sturnidae
Source: RefSeq, a predicted model, not a curated record